CAUGCCGCCAUGGCUGUGGCUGUGGUUUCUCUUGUUGGGCUUCCACAUUCCACAUUGGUUGAAAGUUUAUCGGGAUUUGCCGUGUUUCAGGGAUUUCAUGUAAACCAUACUUGAGGUGGAUUUCCGUGGGAUUCAAAUGCAAAAAAGGCUCGGAAAAUGAAACAGCUUUACACUACUCAAAUUUGUUUAAACAGGCAUGGCAUUUCCUCGUUUGAGUUCAUUUUGAAGGUGACCCUUCUGAGAAAUUCUAUCACAGUUCUAAAUGACCUCUCACACUUCAUGGAAUAUAAUGAAAAGGAGACUUGACUUUAAUCAUGUUUUGGUAGACAUUUCAUGCGUGAAAGAGCAUCGAGAGGAGGCAUCUCCUUUCCAAGAACUUAAAUUCUAUUAAGAUUAAUCAUGAAUGAGUUGCUAAUGUAUUUUUAGAAUCAUGAAUGAAAUAAUA
Molecule: long non-coding RNA, 445 nt
Organism: Drosophila miranda
Lineage: Eukaryota; Metazoa; Arthropoda; Insecta; Diptera; Drosophilidae
Exons: 3
Source: RefSeq, a predicted model, not a curated record